RNAcentral lists this ribosomal RNA (418 nucleotides) under Escherichia coli. RNAcentral's name for it is "partial 23S ribosomal RNA". It matches the Rfam family "Bacterial large subunit ribosomal RNA", at positions 103 to 561 of the family's 2925-position model. Lineage: Bacteria; Pseudomonadati; Pseudomonadota; Gammaproteobacteria; Enterobacterales; Enterobacteriaceae. The record is from RNAcentral.
ACCGGCGAUUUCCGAAUGGGGAAACCCAGUGUGUUUCGACACACUAUCAUUAACUGAAUCCAUAGGUUAAUGAGGCGAACCGGGGGAACUGAAACAUCUAAGUACCCCGAGGAAAAGAAAUCAACCGAGAUUCCCCCAGUAGCGGCGAGCGAACGGGGAGCAGCCCAGAGCCUGAAUCAGUAUGUGUGUUAGUGGAAGCGUCUGGAAAGGCGCGCGAUACAGGGUGACAGCCCCGUACACAAAAAUGCACAUGCUGUGAGCUCGAUGAGUAGGGCGGGACACGUGGUAUCCUGUCUGAAUAUGGGGGGACCAUCCUCCAAGGCUAAAUACUCCUGACUGACCGAUAGUGAACCAGUACCGUGAGGGAAAGGCGAAAAGAACCCCGGCGAGGGGAGUGAAAAAGAACCUGAAACCGUGU